Molecule: long non-coding RNA, 139 nt
Organism: Triticum dicoccoides
Lineage: Eukaryota; Viridiplantae; Streptophyta; Magnoliopsida; Poales; Poaceae
Exons: 3
Source: RefSeq, a predicted model, not a curated record
AAUCAGUUCCCGGACCUUGUACACACCGCCCGUCACACUAUAGGAGCUGGCCAUGUUUGAAGUCAUUACCCUUAACCGUAUGGAGGGGGAUGCCUAAGGCUAGGCUUGCGACUGGAGUGAAGUCAACGUGAAGAUCGGA